UACGUAGGUGGCAAGCGUUGUUCGGAUUUAUUGGGCUUAAAGGGUGCGUAGGCGGUUUUAUAAGUCAGUGGUGAAAUCCAACAGCUUAACUGUUGAGGUGCCAUUGAUACUGUAAGACUUGAGUACAGACGAGGUAGGCGGAAUUGACGGUGUAGCGGUGAAAUGCGUAGAUAUCGUCAAGAACAACGAUAGCGAAGGCAGCUUACUAGACUGUAACUGACGCUGAGGCACGAAAGUGUGGGGAUCAAACAGG
Molecule: ribosomal RNA, 253 nt
Filed under: uncultured bacterium
Lineage: Bacteria
Description: partial 16S ribosomal RNA
Rfam family: Bacterial small subunit ribosomal RNA
Source: RNAcentral